UUUAAAUGUAAAUAUAAUAUAAAUCAAAGUAGUAGUAGAUAUGAUCUUUAAAUUUAAAAAUUUUGGCGGUAUUUUAGUCUAUUCAGAGGAACCUGUUCUAUAAUUGAUAGUCCACGAUAAAAUGUACUUUAAUUAUUAGUUUGUAUAUCGUCGUUAUUAAUUAUUUUAUAAGAAAUUUAAUAAUUAAGAUUUUUUAUUAAAAAAUAAAUCAGAUCAAGGUGCAGUUUAUAUUAAAGAAGAAAUGGGUUACAAUAAGUUUAUUUAUUAUGGAUUUUUUUAUUUAAAUUGAAAUGAAAGUGGAUUUGAUAGUAAUAAGAUUUAAAUAGAUUUUAUGAUUUCAGCUCUAAAAUGUGU
RNAcentral lists this ribosomal RNA (354 nucleotides) under Liodessus affinis. RNAcentral describes it as "partial 12S ribosomal RNA". Lineage: Eukaryota; Metazoa; Arthropoda; Insecta; Coleoptera; Dytiscidae. The record is from RNAcentral.